CUUGGUUGUAAUAACUCUUUGAUAUUAGGUAAAAGUUGGUUGUAAAUUUAAUUUGAUAUUAUUUUUUUUUUUAAAAAAAUCGUCAUAGCCUCACAAUUCUCUUCCUCCCUCGUAUUUCUCGGUUUCUCCCCUUCUCCCUCCCGGUGCGACAGUGUAGCCCCCACCUAUCGCAGCCUACCCCUAUCGCAACCCGUGCUCCCAUAAGGAGUCUGCACUGAUUAUUGCUCCACCGCUGCGCUCACCAGUCCUCCGCCGAACCCACCGAUCCACGGCCAACCACCACACCUCGAUCUCCGCUGCACCGCUACGCCGUCACUUCACUAUACAGCAUUCCUCAAAAAUCCAUAUGAAGUGGGUGAUUCGUAAUGAAAGCAGUUGUUAUAACAAGCCCAUGAGGUCCAGAAGUAUUUGGAGAGUCUAAUAAUGUUGGUAUCUGAAAUUUUAGACAUCAAUAUCUCAGAAGAUUUUGAUCUGUUCAAAGGAAGCCACUAAGACAACAGACUCAAAAUAUCAUCUACAGUCUGAGCCUUUGAGGUACUACAUCCAAAAUUUUUAGUAACUCAUCUAUUUAUCAUAUGCAAAUUUAAUGUAUGUAGACAAAAUUGAUUCCACAAAGAAUCAUAUUCUAGAGAAAAGCUCCAAUUAAUUGUCAGUGAUAAGGAAUGAGCCUAAAUGGCUUGCAAAUUAACCAGGUCCUGCUUGAGAAUGUAAUGAAUCGAGCAUAACUAUGCCCUGUCCUAAAGGCUUAAACAUGCUUCAAACAUUGCUUACAAUUCUAAUUUUUCACAUAAAUAUUGACCCAUUGUACAAUUUUUUUGAGGAUAAGUGCUAGGAGCAAUUAAAAGUGGCUCGAGACUUGGGAGGAGUGUUAUAAAAUGCGUUGAGCAGAAACAAGCUACCCAACUCCUUAGAAGCCAAUAGCUUGAAGCAAGCAUGAAUUGUCAUUAGAUAGAUUCACCUCUGGUACAUAAUACAACAUCAGAAUUUAGCAACUUCUUGGAAAUUGAAGACCGUACAUAAUUUAUUCAAAUCACAGCAAUAUAUUGUGAAAGAGAGAGAUAUGCUAAUAGUUUCACCUGCAUAGGGUUCUAAAGAGGAUAUGAUCUAGCUCUAGCAUCUAUUACAGCUGUCCAAACUAUAAUUAGUUAACAGCUAUUAGGAUCUCCCUUUUUAGCACAAAAACUACCGUACAACAGGACCAAAAAAUCAACAUAGAAGAAAACUAUACAAACUUGAAACCAAUUUGAUAUGGGUUAUUAGGAUCUCCUUUUUUAGCACAAACCUGAUCCGGACCGGGACCGGAAACCUUGAAUUUCAAGGACCAAGACCGGACCUGAAUCUACAGGUCUGGUCCCAACGGGUCCGGUUCAGGUCGGUUUUCAGGUCCGGUCCUGUUUAUGUACACCCCUAAUGAUUGGUGCAAUGGAAUAAUUAGUAAUUCUAAAGAUGAAAUGUAUUUAGAGCUGGCCAAAAUUGCCUCCGAAAGAUUUGAUUUUACCUGUGCUAAAGUUUCUUGUAUCACAUUUUGAACCAUGUGGAUCCUAGUAGGAAAUUGUCAUAACUAGAUUUGCAUUUAGCGAACAACUUUAUACAACAUAGGUUUUAAUUAAUUCAUUAUUACUUGUCUUUAUUCAUUAAAUAAAGAAAUAUAUCUCAUGAAACUAACUAAAAAGAUUGUGUGGGCAUAUUUGCUAUGGAUCAAAAUCACAAAGUUACUUUAAGUGCAAUUGCAAGAUAAUCAGAAUGUGACUAUAUCCUCUUAAUCUAGUAUACUUUUAGUUCAUUUUUGCACAGAAAUCUAUAAUUCCUUAUUUUUGUUUACUCAUUCCCUACCCAAGAAAUUGUUAUUGGCCAGACUGCUUAUACUGCUCGCUAAUUCUUGCAGGUAUUUCCCUCAAUUUCUACUUUUUUAUUUCUUCAAUUUCAUAAAUUAGUGUUUUUUCUCGCCACAAUGCUCGAUUUGAUGAUCGCUGCACAAUUAAUUAUGUAUUCGGUAAAUUUUGUUUGGGAAGCGCAAAAUUGAUUUAGAAUAAUGGCAGCUUAGAAACUUCCACCCCAUCUUUUAAGCAACCGUAGUAAACAGCUGCAAAUCCACCUAUUCCUAGUUCUCUCUAAAAACCUUUUGUAAGGUUUGUAAGGCUAAGCUGGUUAUUGGUUGUGCAACACAGAAGCUUGUGGUGUGAUUUUUGUAAGUUAGUGAUUUAGUGUUGUGUAACAGAGAAGCUCUGACUCUAUUUUGCAGGUUGAAUUUAAUUGAGGUUUAAUAUUAUAGUGGCAGUUGAAUACCUAUGAGCUGUUGAAUAUUUAGAGGGCCAUUCUUAAUUUCAUCGGGACCCAAAUUACAUUUAGUUUACUGUUGUAUUACCCUUUUACUAAGAAUAUGUUAGAAAUUAAUCUAGAUUGCGUUUGUGUGUAGUCAGGUGCUCUUUCUGUGCUUAGAUAUUUGAAUUUGCAGUCACUUAGGUGCGCUUUUGCUCUUUCUGUGCUUAGGUAUUUGAAUUUGCAGUCAGUCAGGUGCUUUUUCUUUUUUCCUGACUCUCUCUCAUUUUUUCUUUUUUUCUGCUUAAAUUCGUGGAAAAAAAAAUUAAGGCCUUGGAAUCUUAUGGUGGUUGGUCUGUAUGUCGUAGUUCUGAAUCCUAUGAUUACCAAACUUAAUGCCUGCAAUACCCUUUCUACUAAGAUUAUGGAAGAAAUUAAUAAUCUAGACUUUGUUUUAUGUGAAGUCAGGUGAUCGGGUGCUCUUUUUCUACUCAGGUGCUCAGGUACUUGAAUCUGCAAUCAGGUGGGAUCAUAAUUGUCUGCCUAACUAAGGUAUUAAGCUCUUAAACCCGUAUCCUAAUCAAUGAAAGUGCCCAGUACAGGUCCUAUGACAUGCAUAAGUCUACACAACAAAGGUUUAUGCAUUUGGCAGAUUGUGCUGAUGAUGAUAUAGCCUCGAAGAAUUUGGCGCAGACAGUAGCUAAAAAAUUGGUUCUGCUAUAGAUUGUGAUGAUGAUAUAGCCUGAUUAUCCUCUGAGUCAAAGCUUGUUUUUCCAAGUCUAUAUCAUUUUAGCAUGUUACUUUGGCAUCCGUUUAAUAAGUAUCCACUAAAACAUGUUACUAAGGCAUCCGUUUAAUAAGUAUUCAUUUCAUGAAAAGCAGUAAAUGAAAUUGAAUUCAUUAUGACGCAUAUAAGGUUUCAAACUUUGGUCACUUGAUUAAUUUCCUUACAAUAUUUUAUGUUUGAUUUUAUUCAGCUUUUUUUUAACGUUGGACUCACUAAAGAACUCGAUAUUGGUCAAAUUCACAAUAUCACUGCCUUAUGUUUAUACACCCACAUAUCUUUCUAUUGGCUGUUUAUACAAGUCCCUAGCACAUUUUCAAAUAAGUUUUAUUUUUUUAUUUUUUUUUUAUUUUUUUUUUUGCUCUAUGCCGUAUAUAAAUGGAUCAUUAUUCUACUCUCACAAACAAUAUUUUGGACCUACCGUUAUCUUCUCUCAUCAAUAUUAAACAACCAAAAAUUAAUAAAGUGAGCAUACAUCAUGGGGAAAAAGGGUAGGGGGGAGUAUUAUUAUUGAGUAGAUGCUGUAUGUACAUUUAUAGAUUCAACAACUCUAAACAAAACAGAAGAUGAAAAGGAAUAGAGAAUUAGAGAUAAGCUAAUAGGAGUAUUAGUAUUACAGAUUACUUCUCAUUUUUGCUUGGGCCUAUGCGGGGUUAUCUGAAUUAAUAUCUGAUGUAUGUCAUACUUGAGCCCUACCAGAGUUUUAGUGGAUACUUAUUAAACAGAUGCCCAUGUGUUACUUGGGCAUCAUGAUUGUGAUUGUGAUAUAGACUUUGGCAGAGACAGUAGCUGAAAUGCAUAGAAGAAUUUGGUAGAAGUAGUAGCUAAAAAACUAGUUUGUGAUAGUUUUAUUUAUGUCUUUUCUGGAGUUUGUGUGACCUACAGGUACAACCUACUGGAUGGGUGCCAUCAAGGAAAGUACUUUUGAUUGUGUGAGAUUACUAAGGCUUCCUUCAGUUGGAGCCUACUGGAUGUCUGCUGCUCUUAGUGUUGUGCGCUGCUUUCAUUGCUGUCUGCUGCUACUGUUAGUUGCUGGUCUGGUCUGCUGAUGCGCGUUGCUUUCACUGCUGCCUGCUACAAUCUUUUGUUACUGCUAGCUAUUGCAAUCAUUUGUUACUGCUAGCGGUCUAGUCUAGAGACCGAAGUUCAUGACUUUCUUUUUGUUUUGUUUAUUAGAUUACUUAGCCAAACAAAAAAAAAAAAUGGUGUUGAUUAGAUUUUUUUGUAAGAAACUAUUAAAUUCUAUCAAUUCAAAUUAUUGCUGUUUCUUGGAUUUU
Molecule: long non-coding RNA, 4320 nt
Organism: Chenopodium quinoa (quinoa)
Lineage: Eukaryota; Viridiplantae; Streptophyta; Magnoliopsida; Caryophyllales; Amaranthaceae
Exons: 2
Source: RefSeq, a predicted model, not a curated record